This 460-nucleotide ribosomal RNA is filed under the name uncultured bacterium. Its description in RNAcentral is "partial 16S ribosomal RNA". It matches the Rfam family "Bacterial small subunit ribosomal RNA", at positions 338 to 795 of the family's 1533-position model. The record is from RNAcentral.
CCUACGGGUGGCAGCAGUGAGGAAUAUUGGUCAAUGGACGAGAGUCUGAACCAGCCAAGUAGCGUGAAGGAUGAAUGCCCUAUGGGUUGUAAACUUCUUUUAUAUGGGAAUAAAGUGUUCCACGUGUGGGAUUUUGUAUGUACCCUAUGAAUAAGCAUCGGCUAACUCCGUGCCAGCAGCCGCGGUAAUACGGAGGAUCCGAGCGUUAUCCGGAUUUAUUGGGUUUAAAGGGAGCGUAGGUGGAUUUUUAAGUCAGUUGUGAAAGUUUGCGGCUCAACCGUAAAAUUGCCGUUGAAACUGGCAGUCUUGAGUACAGUAGAGGUGGGCGGAAUUCGUGGUGUAGCGGUGAAAUGCUUAGAUAUCACGAAGAACUCCGAUUGCGAAGGCAGUUCACUGGACCGCAACUGACACUGAGGCUCGAAAGUGUGGGUAUCAAACAGGAUUAGAUACCCGAGUAGUC